CUCUCGCCUCUACUAUCCAACUCCUGUGAGGGACUCAGGCAUAGUUCGGGCGGAGGCAGAAAGAGCGAGCGCGCGAAGAACUUCGGUAUUGAGGUUGCUAAGGCUUCUCCUCAUGUGCUUCAAGAGAAAGUAGCCUUUAACUGUGGAAAGGACACCAGGGGGACCGGGGAAGGGGAGAGCAGUGGUAAAAAUGAGCCAGAAGCAGAUAAGGCGACUGCCCGCCCCGCGGAGAGCUGCCUUCUGGGACUUGUAGUGCGCGGGGCCCCCGGAGCCGGCUGGCUGCGCAGGCUCGGCCGUUGCGCUGGCCCCACCCCGGCGGGCGGAGUAACGGUUUGGAAUCCCCCGGGGUCAGCGAGCGCUUGUUUCCUCCGCCUGGUGUAGCAAAAGUGUAAACACGCGCGCUCCGGAAGGCGCCCUCCAGUGGGAGGUUGCUCAGGGGAUGGCGGAGCUGUGAAACUCGGAGCUAGAAGGAAAAGCGCUUGUGACGCUACGAACCUCUCGAACACCUGACGACUGGGCGCCAGGGCCGGAUGGAGGGUGGAGAGCCAGUGCGGCGCAGCUGCCUCCUCUUAACGGGGACACCUUGCAGGAAUGUGCGGAGUGGAGCUAACGGGAGCGGAUAGAAACCGAGGGAGGGGAAGAGAGCGCGAAGGCUUGGCCGGAAGGAGAGGUUAAAAAGGAAAGGCCUAAAAUGAGGAAGAGAGUUACCACAACAAGCAGUACCUAGUUCCAGUUCUUGGUCCCAGGAGUUUGUGGUUGUUGCUGCUUUCAUCUUCCUCAGCCAACACAAAAGGAAAGUGCCAAGGGGCGAUUCCUAGGACCUUCAGUGCAGUCUCCACCUUGCGGACUUGGCUCAUUUGUGUCCACUCCUUUCUCCAGCCUUUUACACUUGAUGCUCUUGGAUGAAUAGAAAGGAGCACAAUUAAUGGAAAACACAAGCUUGGGAGUCAAGGGAUUUGGGUUCUAUUCUUGUCCUCCCUUGGUGACGACAUCAUUACCUUGGGUUAUUCAAGCUUUCAGUGCCAGAGUUCCUAUAUCAAUAAAAGAUUAUUACAUUGACCUCUUAGAGAAAUGUUUUCAUGGUACUGAAUUGCAAAUAAAGUAUGUGUAGCGAUGUGUUAUAUCUUUGUAGUUGUACGGUAUUAUUUGUGAAUCAUGCUGUGAUGAUCAGUGCGAUUUAAGUGCACCAUGUUAUUUGGUGAUUAUUUUCCUGAGAUCUUGUAAAAGAUUUUUCUGCUCUAUAUAUGCAGCUUUAUAAACAAGUUUUUAGGUACAUUCACAACUAAGGACAUUUGUGAAUCAAAAUUACCCCUGCUUUUUUUAAAUGUAAAGUUCUGUAUUGCUAGGUGGUUUUCAAGAUGCUUUCAGUUUCUGGGAUUAUUGUUUUGGGCAUUGGGGCUUGCCUAACCUUUUUCCCAUACCUCCCUAUUUUUCUAAAUACAGUGUUGAUAUAGUCAGGCAUUUUUCACCAAUUUGGGUUUUUUUUUUUUUUUUAAGUUUUCACUUAGAAAGUACUUCUUUUUCAUAUUAAAAAAAUUUUUUUUAGAGAUGGGGCAGCCCAAACUGGAACACAAUGGCAGAAUCAUAGCUCACUGCAUCCUUGGACUCCCGGGCUCAAGGGGUCCUUAUGCCUCAGCCUCCGGAGUAGUUGGGACUACAGAUGCUCAUCACCACCACUGGCUUUGAUUUUUUUGUUCUAUCAUACUUAGCCUAUCAGCUAACGGUUAACCUUCAGAUUCAUGGAAAUCCAGGUUCAGAAUAGUAUUAUUAAUGUCUGCUGAUGCUAAUAUUUAAAUAAUUAGAAUUAAAAAGAGCUUUCAAAUUGUAUUUUAUAUAAUUUAACCUGUAAGUUAGAAGUUUUGUUGGCAUUUUAUGGUGCAUCAAGAAAAUUUACUGAGAGAAGAUGUACUUACUUUAGAUCUGAUAAAAUGUUAAACAUUUGUUUGAUUUGAUUUGACAUCUCUUACUUUCAGGCAUUGCUUUAGCAUCUGUGGUCUGUAUUUACCCCCUUAAUUGUGGUUGCCUUGAAUUACCAAUGCAGUAGCAGUGUGAUAAAUUAAUUUCUUUACCUAUGUUUUAUUACUGCCCUCUAGUAUCUCUUUUCAGCGACCAGCGUGCUGUAACCAGUCACAAUUUCUUUAUCAAGAGUUGCCAUUAAUAUUUAUUUAUAGAGCAUAAGGUUUAUAUUGCUUAUAUAUAAGCUAUAUAUAGUUUAGGUGCUGACCUAAGGUUUAUAAAAGUGAAAACUUACUGUAAUGGGCAGUCUGAAGCACUGAGGUGCACCUUUUUAUCUUACUGGCAAGACCAUCUACUACCUAUGAAUUAUAAGGUAGUGGUCUCCAAGAUGUUUUGAUAGCCUCCCAUUUACAUAGUUACUGUUUAUGCUAUGAGAAAAGUAAGAGGGGUAUCAGAGAGCUUGUUUUCCCCAAUAGCCUGUUACGGACUCCUCAGUACCAAGUAAGGACAAAAACCUUCAUCUCCUAACACUCUUUCAACUGUAUCCCACUGAGUGCCUGCCUAGGACUGCAUAAGGCAAAAGCUGUAUAAAUAAUGGCCCCUACUUCAAGGAUCCUACAGGAUAUCAUUUUAAGAAAUAUGUGAAGAUCUAUAUAAUUUAGUUCUAAGUGUUGAGAGGAAAUUCAGUGCUACUUACAUUUAGAUAAAGUAGUGGGACUGAGAGUAGUUAGGUUAGCUUUAUGGAGGGAUUUAAGCUGAGCCUUAUGUGAAUGGAUAAAAUUUGGAGAGGAGGAGAGCAAUAAAAGGCAUAUCACACAGAGAAAAGCAAGGGCACAGAUGUGAGAAUUGUAUGGUUUCUAUAGAGGACAGUGAAGAGCUUUAUUUGUACUGUUGAUCCAUGUUUGGGAGUUCUAAAAAAAUAAGUUAUUAUGGAGCACCUUGAAAAAGUAAGAUUUCAGAGUAACAGUAAAGAAAUAGAGCAUUUAACAAAACCCAGCAUAAUAUAUUCAUAGAAACAAUAUAAUCCAGCAAAAUAUAUUCAAAAACAAUGAGCAAAUCUUAACUUGGGGUGGGGAGAUGAAUCAGUUGAUGAACAAUCAGUCAGAAUUAAAGUGUAAUACUAUUACACCUAGACCAAGAACAAUUGACCAGGAAGCCAGCGAUACCUAUGAUAGCCAAAAUGCCAUGAAGUAUGAAUGAAUUGUUAGUAAAAAAAAAAAAACGGAUCCAGGUAGUGUCCAGUAUAUAUUAAUACGUUUGAUAAGCAGAAAUGGAAAAGGCAGUAAAAUAUCCUGGUUAGAUAUAUGCCUUAUCAAGCUAUGGCAGCCAGCUUUUCAAACACCAUGAAAAACUGGGCAAGAGGCAGAUUCAGAGAAUAAGAGGGAAAUAGACUGUAAAAACAGAAUGUUGCUGAUUGAAGGCAUUGUCCCGUUCCUGUCUCGAAGGAGAUUCAUUCUCGUUGAGGCCUGGCAAUAUAUGUACUCAUUUGAAAAGGAACCUUUUGAUCUAGAGAGGUCCUGCAGCCUUCCUUCUUUUCUGAGAAGGAAAAUUUUGUUGUGGAUAUCCUUUGAGCUGGAUAGACCUGUCCCUCCCUACAGCUUCUUUGCUAAUAUAAUUGCCUCCAGUUCACUCCUAAAAGAAUGCUUAGGGUAUUAAACUGCUCUGUAGUAAGCAAUUAGUCUGUAUAUUGUUUCCUAAACUUAAGAAGGCUUUUGUUCAAGGGCCCCUGACCCUAACCUCAGCUGCCACUCCAUGCCAGUUGAAAAAGGCUUUCAGCCUUCCUUGGUGCUAUGGUUUGAAUGAAGGUAUUCCUCCAAAAUUCAUAUGUUGGAACUUAAACCCCAAGGUGGUGAUAUUAAGAGGUGGGGCCUUUUGGGAAGUGAUUUAGCUGUGAGGGCUUUGCUGUCAUGAAUGGUAUUGCCGUUAGAGUCCUCAGAGAGCUGCCUGUGAGCCAUGUGAGGACAGAGCAUUCAUCCCUUCCAGUAUAUAAGCAACAGGGUGCUCAUCUCGGAAGCAGAGAACCCUCACAAGACACUAAAUCUGCUGACACCUUGAUCAUGGACUUCCCAGCCUCCAGAACUGUAAG
RNAcentral lists this long non-coding RNA (4042 nucleotides) under Homo sapiens (human). Its description in RNAcentral is "non-protein coding lnc-SLC26A3-1:14". The record is from RNAcentral. Lineage: Eukaryota; Metazoa; Chordata; Mammalia; Primates; Hominidae.